AUGACCUGGUUCCUCAAUCUCUCUCAACCGCCCUAUCUUCUUCUCAAAUAUAAAAUCCAGGGUGAGGGAGUGGAAGGGUGUGCGGAUCUGGUUUUGGCUUCACGGCGGCGUGAUUUGCACGGAUGCCCAGAGGUGAUGCGCAGCUGGGGAACAUCGUUCGGUGGUUUCAGUUCUGAUCCCAAUUCUUUCUCCUAUUAUCUAUUUAUUAUUAUUUUUGCUUCAAAUCUCUUUGUCGUUGCAAGAAUUUUUGACUUGUUGUGGCAGCAAGACAGUAGCAUAUUGAUAGAGAAACAUGAUUAUUUUGGUGGUGGUUUAGCAUCAAGAAUGCAAAGUAGAAUUUUGGGCAAGGCACCAAGUUGA
Non-coding RNA from Vicia faba (fava bean), 360 nucleotides. The record is from the annotation of a GenBank genome assembly. Lineage: Eukaryota; Viridiplantae; Streptophyta; Magnoliopsida; Fabales; Fabaceae.